AGAGUUUGAUCCUGGCUCAGGAUGAACGCUAGCUACAGGCUUAACACAUGCAAGUCGAGGGGAAACGACAUCGAAAGCUUGCUUUUGAUGGGCGUCGACCGGCGCACGGGUGAGUAACGCGUAUCCAACCUGCCCACCACUUGGGGAUAACCUUGCGAAAGUAAGACUAAUACCCAAUGAUAUCUCUAGAAGACAUCUGAAAGAGAUUAAAGAUUUAUCGGUGAUGGAUGGGGAUGCGUCUGAUUAGCUUGUUGGCGGGGUAACGGCCCACCAAGGCUACGAUCAGUAGGGGUUCUGAGAGGAAGGUCCCCCACAUUGGAACUGAGACACGGUCCAAACUCCUACGGGAGGCAGCAGUGAGGAAUAUUGGUCAAUGGGCGAGAGCCUGAACCAGCCAAGUAGCGUGCAGGAUGACGGCCCUAUGGGUUGUAAACUGCUUUUAUAAGGGAAUAAAGUGAGCCUCGUGAGGCUUUUUGCAUGUACCUUAUGAAUAAGGACCGGCUAAUUCCGUGCCAGCAGCCGCGGUAAUACGGAAGGUCCGGGCGUUAUCCGGAUUUAUUGGGUUUAAAGGGAGCGUAGGCCGGAGAUUAAGCGUGUUGUGAAAUGUAGAUGCUCAACAUCUGCACUGCAGCGCGAACUGGUUUCCUUGAGUACGCACAAAGUGGGCGGAAUUCGUGGUGUAGCGGUGAAAUGCUUAGAUAUCACGAAGAACUCCGAUUGCGAAGGCAGCUCACUGGAGCGCAACUGACGCUGAAGCUCGAAAGUGCGGGUAUCGAACAGGAUUAGAUACCCUGGUAGUCCGCACGGUAAACGAUGGAUGCCCGCUGUUGGUCUGAAUAGGUCAGCGGCCAAGCGAAAGCAUUAAGCAUCCCACCUGGGGAGUACGCCGGCAACGGUGAAA
Molecule: ribosomal RNA, 901 nt
Filed under: uncultured bacterium
Lineage: Bacteria
Description: bacterial SSU rRNA
Rfam family: Bacterial small subunit ribosomal RNA
Source: RNAcentral